RNAcentral lists this long non-coding RNA (467 nucleotides) under Helianthus annuus (common sunflower). RNAcentral describes it as "sRNA HanXRQr2_Chr03g0088761". The record is from RNAcentral. Lineage: Eukaryota; Viridiplantae; Streptophyta; Magnoliopsida; Asterales; Asteraceae.
AACUUAACCACAAAAUGGAUUAGCGACAUGUUUUUGUUGUUUUGUUUCAAAAAGAUGACACUUGAACGACCACAAACAACCAGUUUUAUAGCAUAAAUUUCCUAAUAGUAUUCCUAAACCGUAAACCAUAUUUCUUUUAUUAUACUAGUAAAUAUGGGAUUACAAAUGCAGUCAAAUUACAAUCUCAAAUACUUUAGAGAUAUGGGCAUUUAUCGUCUUUGGGUCACAGUACGCUUGGUAGUACAAGGUUCUUGCGACACUUAGGAACGUCUGCUUCAGAUCCUGUUCAAGACCAUCGGGUGAGUCGCCCAAUACAAGUUGCACCAGCUCUUGCAUUUCCGAAUCUAUCAUAGUGUAAUUUCUAACCCCAUUGUCACAUGUGGUGCGGUUCUCCUACAAGUUAUGGAACUUAGAUAAUUCAAGACAAAUGUUGUUAGUGACAGUUGAGAGUCGUUGAUAUUGAGGAU